GACGAACGCUGGCGGCGUGCUUAACACAUGCAAGUCGAACGAUGAAGCCGGAGCUUGCUCUGGUGAAUUAGUGGCGAACGGGUGAGUAACACGUGAGUAACCUGCCCUUGACUCUGGGAUAACUGCGGGAAACUGUAGCUAAUACCGGAUACGACCCUCGGAGGCAUCUCCUGGGGGUGGAAAGAAUUUCGGUCAAGGAUGGACUCGCGGCCUAUCAGCUAGUUGGUGAGGUAAAGGCUCACCAAGGCGACGACGGGUAGCCGGCCUGAGAGGGUGACCGGCCACACUGGGACUGAGACACGGCCCAGACUCCUACGGGAGGCAGCAGUGGGGAAUAUUGCACAAUGGGCGCAAGCCUGAUGCAGCAACGCCGCGUGAGGGAUGACGGCCUUCGAGUUGUAAACCUCCUUUAGCAGGGAAGAAGCGAAAGUGACGGUACCUGCAGAAAAAGCACCGGCUAACUACGUGCCAGCCGCCGCGGUAA
RNAcentral lists this ribosomal RNA (484 nucleotides) under uncultured bacterium. RNAcentral's name for it is "partial 16S ribosomal RNA". It matches the Rfam family "Bacterial small subunit ribosomal RNA", at positions 28 to 523 of the family's 1533-position model. The record is from RNAcentral.